RNAcentral lists this ribosomal RNA (623 nucleotides) under uncultured bacterium. RNAcentral's name for it is "bacterial SSU rRNA". It matches the Rfam family "Bacterial small subunit ribosomal RNA", at positions 65 to 691 of the family's 1533-position model. The record is from RNAcentral.
AGGGGUAUAGUUCUUCGGAAUUAGAGACCGGCGCACGGGUGCGUAACGCGUAUGCAAUCUACCUUUCACAGAGGGAUAGCCCAGAGAAAUUUGGAUUAAUACCUCAUAGUAUAUAGCCCUGGCAUCAGGAUUAUAUUAAAGUCACAACGGUGAAAGAUGAGCAUGCGUCCCAUUAGCUAGUUGGUAAGGUAACGGCUUACCAAGGCUACGAUGGGUAGGGGUCCUGAGAGGGAGAUCCCCCACACUGGUACUGAGACACGGACCAGACUCCUACGGGAGGCAGCAGUGAGGAAUAUUGGACAAUGGGCGCAAGCCUGAUCCAGCCAUGCCGCGUGCAGGAUGACGGUCCUAUGGAUUGUAAACUGCUUUUGCACAGGAAGAAACAACGCUACGUGUAGCGUCUUGACGGUACUGUGAGAAUAAGGAUCGGCUAACUCCGUGCCAGCAGCCGCGGUAAUACGGAGGAUCCAAGCGUUAUCCGGAAUCAUUGGGUUUAAAGGGUCCGUAGGCGGUUUAGUAAGUCAGUGGUGAAAGCCCAUCGUCAACGGUGGGAACGGCAUUGAUACUGUAGACUUGAAUUAUUAGGAAGUACCUAGAAUAUGUAGUGUAGCGGUGAAAUGGUU